Molecule: ribosomal RNA, 1372 nt
Filed under: uncultured bacterium
Lineage: Bacteria
Description: bacterial SSU rRNA
Rfam family: Bacterial small subunit ribosomal RNA
Source: RNAcentral
GAUGAACGCUGGCGGCGUGCCUAAUACAUGCAAGUCGAGCGAACGGACGAGAAGCUUGCUUCUCUGAUGUUAGCGGCGGACGGGUGAGUAACACGUGGAUAACCUACCUAUAAGACUGGGAUAACUUCGGGAAACCGGAGCUAAUACCGGAUAAUAUUUUGAACCGCAUGGUUCAAAAGUGAAAGACGGUCUUGCUGUCACUUAUAGAUGGAUCCGCGCUGCAUUAGCUAGUUGGUAAGGUAACGGCUUACCAAGGCAACGAUGCAUAGCCGACCUGAGAGGGUGAUCGGCCACACUGGAACUGAGACACGGUCCAGACUCCUACGGGAGGCAGCAGUAGGGAAUCUUCCGCAAUGGGCGAAAGCCUGACGGAGCAACGCCGCGUGAGUGAUGAAGGUCUUCGGAUCGUAAAACUCUGUUAUUAGGGAAGAACAUAUGUGUAAGUAACUGUGCACAUCUUGACGGUACCUAAUCAGAAAGCCACGGCUAACUACGUGCCAGCAGCCGCGGUAAUACGUAGGUGGCAAGCGUUAUCCGGAAUUAUUGGGCGUAAAGCGCGCGUAGGCGGUUUUUUAAGUCUGAUGUGAAAGCCCACGGCUCAACCGUGGAGGGUCAUUGGAAACUGGAAAACUUGAGUGCAGAAGAGGAAAGUGGAAUUCCAUGUGUAGCGGUGAAAUGCGCAGAGGUAUGGAGGAACACCAGUGGCGAAGGCGACUUUCUGGUCUGUAACUGACGCUGAUGUGCGAAAGCGUGGGGAUCAAACAGGAUUAGAUACCCUGGUAGUCCACGCCGUAAACGAUGAGUGCUAAGUGUUAGGGGGUUUCCGCCCCUUAGUGCUGCAGCUAACGCAUUAAGCACUCCGCCUGGGGAGUACGACCGCAAGGUUGAAACUCAAAGGAAUUGACGGGGACCCGCACAAGCGGUGGAGCAUGUGGUUUAAUUCGAAGCAACGCGAAGAACCUUACCAAAUCUUGACAUCCUUUGACAACUCUAGAGAUAGAGCUUUCCCCUUCGGGGGACAAAGUGACAGGUGGUGCAUGGUUGUCGUCAGCUCGUGUCGUGAGAUGUUGGGUUAAGUCCCGCAACGAGCGCAACCCUUAAGCUUAGUUGCCAUCAUUAAGUUGGGCACUCUAAGUUGACUGCCGGUGACAAACCGGAGGAAGGUGGGGAUGACGUCAAAUCAUCAUGCCCCUUAUGAUUUGGGCUACACACGUGCUACAAUGGACAAUACAAAGGGCAGCGAAACCGCGAGGUCAAGCAAAUCCCAUAAAGUUGUUCUCAGUUCGGAUUGUAGUCUGCAACUCGACUACAUGAAGCUGGAAUCGCUAGUAAUCGUAGAUCAGCAUGCUACGGUGAAUACGUUCCCGGGUCU